GACGAACGCUGGCGGCGUGCUUAACACAUGCCAGUCGAACGGAAAGGCCCUGCUUUUGUGGGGUUCUCGAGUGGGGAACGCGUGAGUAAAACGCGAGUAACCCGCCCUUGACUUUGGGAUAACUUUAGGAAACUGGGGCUAAUACCGGGUAGGAGCUCUUGCACCAUGGGGGGGGUUGGAAAGUUUCGGCGGUAGGGGAUAGACUCGCGGCUUAUCCGCUUGUUGGUGGGGUAGGUGCUUACGAAGGCUAUGACGGGUAGCCGGCCUGAGAGCGUGGCCGGCCUCAUGGGGACUGAGAUACGGCCCAGACUGCUACCGGACGCAGCAGUGGGGAGUCUUGCACAGUGGGCGGAAGCCUGUUGCAGCAACGCCGCGUGCGUGAUGCCCGCCUUCGGGUGGAAAACCGCUUUCGACUGAGACGAAGCGUGAGUGACGGUAAUGAGUAAAGAAGCACCGGCUAACUACGUG
Molecule: ribosomal RNA, 468 nt
Filed under: uncultured bacterium
Lineage: Bacteria
Description: partial 16S ribosomal RNA
Rfam family: Bacterial small subunit ribosomal RNA
Source: RNAcentral